This 399-nucleotide ribosomal RNA is filed under the name uncultured bacterium. RNAcentral describes it as "bacterial SSU rRNA". It matches the Rfam family "Bacterial small subunit ribosomal RNA", at positions 358 to 774 of the family's 1533-position model. The record is from RNAcentral.
GGAAUCUUGCGCAAUGGACGGAAGUCUGACGCAGCGACGCCGCGUGGGUGAAGACGGCCUUCGGGUUGUAAAGCCCUUUUCUGGAGGAAGAGGGAGGACGGUACUCCAGGAAUAAGUGUCGGCUAACUACGUGCCAGCAGCCGCGGUAAUACGUAGGACACGAGCGUUAUCCGGAUUUACUGGGCGUAAAGCGCCUGUAGGCGGUUCUUCAAGUCGUUUGUGAAAGCCCUGGGCUCAACCUGGGGAGGCCAAGCGAUACUGGAGGACUUGAGGGUGACAGAGGGGAGUGGAAUUUCCGGUGUAGCGGUAAAAUGCGCAGAUAUCGGGAGAGCACCAGUGGCGAAGGCGGCUCCCUGGGUCACACCAGACGCUGAGAGGCGAAAGCUAGGGGAGCGAACA